RNAcentral lists this small RNA (933 nucleotides) under Pan troglodytes (chimpanzee). Its description in RNAcentral is "processed transcript". Lineage: Eukaryota; Metazoa; Chordata; Mammalia; Primates; Hominidae. The record is from RNAcentral.
GAUUGCGGCGGGAAGUCCUCCGAGUCAUGAAUGUUUCAGCGCGGCGCGCGAGGUGAGGGCCGCGCGUCCAGGUGUAAGCUAGCAGGUUGUCGCUGACAUCUGUUUGCAGCGGCGGCAGCGGCCUCCCUAGCCCGCAGCGAGCGGCCGGAUUGUCAGCGGAGGUAGUUGAGAGCGGCAGAACCGUUUUGGUCUCACUCUCGCUGCCUGGAGGCCUGAAACACCAAAGGGCCGGUGCAUAAACUUCUCCCGAGUUCCAUCUCAGUAAAAGGGAAGCAGGAAGACCAAGAAGGUACGAAGAUGGCACAUUUUCACAUAGCUUGAUUUUCAACCAAAUGAAAAAAAUCAAGUGCAUUUCAGAAGCUUUUGGAAGAGCAGCUUAAUUCCUCUCAGUCAGGAAAUGUUUUCUCUGCCUUCUGCUGUGCUUGCACCAAACAUUUCUAAACACUUGUUCUGCCAUCUACAUGGGAGGUGAUGAAACUCAGUGGUAACUCAUGAUUUAUGACAUUGAAAAUAAAGAGGAACAUUGACCUGCAGACUAUGGUUUGUACAAGAAAGUUUGUUUGAAUGUGUAGAAGAGGAAAAAGCAACAACAGCAACAACACGAAGAUGAUACCAAAACAAGGACCGCAAAACAACUAGCCAUGAUGGGAGACAGGAGUUUUUUACAUGGAAACAUGGCACUUGUGUUUUUAUGUGGCAAGAUCUUUAUCCAUAGGCAGAGUAUGAAAUUUCCCACCAGGCUAAGCAAAUAAAGAAGUCCAUUGCCUUAUAGCUAUGUCAGAUCACAGAAUCCUUCCAAGUGCCCUAUCACAGUGUGCCUUAUGGGAAGUUUCUGACUGGAAAAUCUUGUCAUUCUAACACUGAAAAGUGCACACGCAUGACAAAAUGUAGACAAGAUGCCUCAAGGUAUUGGUAGCAAGCAAGAUUUUGCCC